This is a non-coding RNA of Carassius gibelio (silver crucian carp), 1358 nucleotides long. The record is from the annotation of a RefSeq genome assembly. Lineage: Eukaryota; Metazoa; Chordata; Actinopteri; Cypriniformes; Cyprinidae.
CAGCUGUAUCUCGUACAGAUUUACAUCGAGAUGAUUUGCAUCGCAGCACAAGCUUCAGCAGGUUUUAUAUCUCUGUGAGUCUGAACUCUGAGAAUCUGAACCAACAGCAACCAUGAGCUUCAUCACCAUCUUCAUCUGGAUCUUCACUAGCUGCUGUUUCACAGAAUCAGCAGGUGAAGUGACAGUCACUCAGACGCCUGCAGUGAAACCUGUUCAACCAGGAGACACAGUUACUAUGUCCUGUAAAACCAGUCCUGAAGUUUACCAGGGUUACAGUUUUCAGCCUCUAUCCUGGUACUUACAGAAACCUGGAGAAGCUCCUAAACUCCUGAUUUAUGGAACAAGCAGUCUCCAGUCAGGAACUCCAUCUAGAUUCAGUGGCAGUGGAUCUAACAGUGAUUUCACUCUGACCAUCAGUGGAGUCCAGACUGAAGAUGCUGGACAUUAUUACUGUCAGAGUUACCAUGAAAUCAACAGUGAUUAUGUGUUCACACAGUGAUUGUGAGUGGUACAAAAACCUGUGUCAGUCAGAGUCACAGUGACUGAACUGAUGCUGCAGCUGAUCAAACACUAUCACUCACUACUGACACACAGAGACCAAACACAGAACUACACAUGAGCUCACAACUGAGUUAGGACUCACAUCAGCUCUAUUAGACUCAGAUCUGUCCUGUGACAGACGGGUCUGACUCAGUUAUGCUCUGAUUUGUGAUGAAUUGAUAUCAUAUCAAUCCAAAAACACACAAAUGUUUCUUUGUUACAGUUUGUUAGUUUUUUUGUUUUUUUAUGUGUACUUACAAUCAUACUGAUAAACUUCCUUACGAAACUACGACUCAAACUUCAUAACUGUCUCAUCAGUGCAUGAGCAGAAGUGAAAGUGUUUCAGUUCAGAGCGUUGAACCGAUCAAACAGUGAAACUGUGAGUUUGAGCUGAAAUCAGAUUUGCAUUGACAGCUUUAGUGAUUCUGAUGGUCUCAGAAUAGAGCAGCUCCGUCUCCAGAGACCAUGUUCAAACCCCAAGAGCUUCAGUUCACAUUUACUGCUAAACACAGCUGUUCUCAACUAUUACAAUCCAUCAACAGCAGCUGAAACUUUAGUGAAGGAAGGACACACUGAUCAAUGAUGCAGUCGAACACAAAUGGAAGGCGUUCAGAAGCUUUAUUGAAUGAACAGCAAUGGCAGCACAUUGAAAGACUGCUUGAGUAUUGAGCUGUAAAUCAGGAGACUGCUGUGAAUCCUGCUGCUCUUCACUGGAGAAACAUCAGCACUCGGAGCUCUUGAGGAACGAGGUCUCGUGAUCAGCUCCGUCAUGUGUUACUCUGCAGACGAAGCGCUCGCCGGCUUCCCAGCGUGCUUUG